GUGAGGAAUAUUGGACAAUGGGCGCAAGCCUGAUCCAGCCAUGCCGCGUGCAGGAAGACGCAUCUAUGGUGUGUAAACUGCUUUUGUACGGGAAGAAACACUCCCUCGUGAGGGAGCUUGACGGUACCGUAAGAAUAAGGAUCGGCUAACUCCGUGCCAGCAGCCGCGGUAAUACGGAGGUUCCAAGCGUUAUCCGGAAUCAUUGGGUUUAAAGGGUCCGUAGGCGGUUUAAUAAGUCAGUGGUGAAAGCCCAUCGCUCAACGAUGGAACGGCCAUUGAUACUGUUAGACUUGAAUUACAAGGAAGUAACUAGAAUAUGUAGUGUAGCGGUGAAAUGCUUAGAUAUUACAUGGAAUACCAAUUGCGAAGGCAGGUUACUACUUGUGGAUUGACGCUGAUGGACGAAAGCGUGGGGAGCGAACAGGAUUAGAUACCCUUGUAGUCC
This 445-nucleotide ribosomal RNA is filed under the name uncultured bacterium. RNAcentral describes it as "partial 16S ribosomal RNA". It matches the Rfam family "Bacterial small subunit ribosomal RNA", at positions 354 to 796 of the family's 1533-position model. The record is from RNAcentral.